Molecule: long non-coding RNA, 535 nt
Filed under: Brassica napus (rape)
Lineage: Eukaryota; Viridiplantae; Streptophyta; Magnoliopsida; Brassicales; Brassicaceae
Description: long non-coding RNA (BNAP_LNC010600)
Source: RNAcentral
AGAACAGCUCGCUAAUGACCUCCUAAUCCAAAUCCAACAUGCACGGACCGCUAGACCAGAGACCAAACACACCCAUGAGACAGCCGAGCUUUAUUCAACAUGAACAAACACAUGCUGCGAUGGAGACAAAUCUGAAACGAGAUCUUCGGAUCCUGCAAAAAGAAAGGGAAUAAUCUGCUGAGCAAGCCAAGAGGCCGACCAAGCACUGGGAUGACCAUUCCCUAACCAGGAGACCCACGCCGUCCACACCACCGACUGACCCAACCGGAGCUACAAGACGACGACCUGAUCCAAAACAGAGAACCUGCUUCGGUCUUUAAGCGCUUCACAAACAUCCUUGAUAGAGCAUGGCGAACGUGAAGCAGAACCAACAGAAGCCCUAACCACUCACGAAGAGAGUAGAGCACACUCGACCAGAUUAAUGAGAGAGGAAGCAAAAGGAGAGCAACCUCGGCGACGGAGACAAGCAAGCCAUAGAAGACAAACCCUAACCACGCCACAGAAAAUGUAGACGCAAGCCCACAGAAGAAACGAU